This 468-nucleotide ribosomal RNA is filed under the name uncultured bacterium. Its description in RNAcentral is "partial 16S ribosomal RNA". It matches the Rfam family "Bacterial small subunit ribosomal RNA", at positions 28 to 507 of the family's 1533-position model. The record is from RNAcentral.
GACGAACGCUGGCGGCGUGCUUAACACAUGCAAGUCGAACGGAAAGGCCCUGCUUUUGUGGGGUGCUCGAGUGGCGAACGGGUGAGUAACACGUGAGUAACCUGCCCUUGACUUUGGGAUAACUUCAGGAAACUGGGGCUAAUACCGGAUAGGAGCUCCUGCUGCAUGGUGGGGGUUGGAAAGUUUCGGCGGUUGGGGAUGGACUCGCGGCUUAUCAGCUUGUUGGUGGGGUAGUGGCUUACCAAGGCUUUGACGGGUAGCCGGCCUGAGAGGGUGACCGGCCACAUUGGGACUGAGAUGCGGCCCAGACUCGUACGGGAGGCAGCAGAGGGGAAGAGUGCACAAUGGGCGGAAGCCUGAUGCAGCAACGCCGCGUGCGGGAUGACGGCCUUCGGGUUGGAAACCGCUUUCGCCUGUGACGAAGCGUGAGUGACGGUAAUGGGUAAAGAAGCACCGGCUAACUACGUG